This 585-nucleotide ribosomal RNA is filed under the name uncultured bacterium. Its description in RNAcentral is "bacterial SSU rRNA". It matches the Rfam family "Bacterial small subunit ribosomal RNA", at positions 338 to 916 of the family's 1533-position model. The record is from RNAcentral.
CCUACGGGAGGCAGCAGUGGGGAAUUUUGGACAAUGGGGGCAACCCUGAUCCAGCAAUGCCGCGUGAGUGAAGAAGGCCUUCGGGUUGUAAAGCUCUUUUGUCAGGGAAGAAACAGCAGCUCUAACACAGACUGCGAAUGACGGUACCUGAAGAAUAAGCACCGGCUAACUACGUGCCAGCAGCCGCGGUAAUACGUAGGGUGCGAGCGUUAAUCGGAAUUACUGGGCGUAAAGCGUGCGCAGGCGGUUAUACAAGACAGGCGUGAAAUCCCCGGGCUUAACCUGGGAAUGGCGUCUGUGACUGUAUAGCUAGAGUGUGUCAGAGGGGGGUGGAAUUCCACGUGUAGCAGUGAAAUGCGUAGAUAUGUGGAGGAACACCAAUGGCGAAGGCAGCCCCCUGGGAUAACACUGACGCUCAUGCACGAAAGCGUGGGGAGCAAACAGGAUUAGAUACCCUGGUAGUCCACGCCCUAAACGAUGCUGACUAGUUGUUGGGAAUUUACAUUCUCAGUAACGUAGCUAACGCGUGAAGUCAGCCGCCUGGGGAGUACGGUCGCAAGAUUAAAACUUAAAGGAAAUUGACGG